This 497-nucleotide ribosomal RNA is filed under the name uncultured bacterium. RNAcentral's name for it is "partial 16S ribosomal RNA". It matches the Rfam family "Bacterial small subunit ribosomal RNA", at positions 28 to 507 of the family's 1533-position model. The record is from RNAcentral.
GAUGAACGCUGGCGGCGUGCCUAAUACAUGCAAGUCGAGCGAACAGAUAAGGAGCUUGCUCCUUUGACGUUAGCGGCGGACGGGUGAGUAACACGUGGGUAACUUACCUAUAAGACUGGAAUAACUCCGGGAAACCGGGGCUAAUGCCGGAUAACAUGUUGAACCGCAUGGUUCUACAGUGAAAGGCGGCUUUGCUGUCACUUAUAGAUGGACCCGCGCCGUAUUAGCUAGUUGGUGAGGUGACGGCUCACCAAGGCAACGAUACGUAGCCGACCUGAGAGGGUGAUCGGCCACACUGGAACUGAGACACGGUCCAGACUCCUACGGGAGGCAGCAGUAGGGAAUCUUCCGCAAAGGGCGAAAGCCUGACGGAGCAACGCCGCGUGAGUGAUGAAGGUCUUCGGAUCGUAAAACUCUGUUAUUAGGGAAGAACAAAUGCGUAAGUAACUGUGCGCGUCUUGACGGUACCUAAUCAGAAAGCCACGGCUAACUACGUG